RNAcentral lists this ribosomal RNA (824 nucleotides) under Microbacterium sp. HCA1-12_Pa. RNAcentral describes it as "bacterial SSU rRNA". It matches the Rfam family "Bacterial small subunit ribosomal RNA", at positions 57 to 892 of the family's 1533-position model. The record is from RNAcentral. Lineage: Bacteria; Bacillati; Actinomycetota; Actinomycetes; Micrococcales; Microbacteriaceae.
GCAGUCGAACGGUGAAGCCCCGCUUGCGGGGUGGAUCAGUGGCGAACGGGUGAGUAACACGUGAGCAACCUGCCCCUGACUCUGGGAUAAGCGCUGGAAACGGCGUCUAAUACUGGAUACGAGACGUGAUCGCAUGGUCAACGUUUGGAAAGAUUUUUCGGUUGGGGAUGGGCUCGCGGCCUAUCAGCUUGUUGGUGAGGUAAUGGCUCACCAAGGCGUCGACGGGUAGCCGGCCUGAGAGGGUGACCGGCCACACUGGGACUGAGACACGGCCCAGACUCCUACGGGAGGCAGCAGUGGGGAAUAUUGCACAAUGGGCGCAAGCCUGAUGCAGCAACGCCGCGUGAGGGAUGACGGCCUUCGGGUUGUAAACCUCUUUUAGCAGGGAAGAAGCGAGAGUGACGGUACCUGCAGAAAAAGCACCGGCUAACUACGUGCCAGCAGCCGCGGUAAUACGUAGGGUGCAAGCGUUAUCCGGAAUUAUUGGGCGUAAAGAGCUCGUAGGCGGUUUGUCGCGUCUGCUGUGAAAUCUGGGGGCUCAACCCCCAGCCUGCAGUGGGUACGGGCAGACUAGAGUGCGGUAGGGGAGAUUGGAAUUCCUGGUGUAGCGGUGGAAUGCGCAGAUAUCAGGAGGAACACCGAUGGCGAAGGCAGAUCUCUGGGCCGUAACUGACGCUGAGGAGCGAAAGGGUGGGGAGCAAACAGGCUUAGAUACCCUGGUAGUCCACCCCGUAAACGUUGGGAACUAGUUGUGGGGUCCAUUCCACGGAUUCCGUGACGCAGCUAACGCAUUAAGUUCCCCGCCUGGGGAGUACGGCCGCAGG